RNAcentral lists this non-coding RNA (147 nucleotides) under Nomascus leucogenys (northern white-cheeked gibbon). The record is from Rfam by way of RNAcentral. Lineage: Eukaryota; Metazoa; Chordata; Mammalia; Primates; Hylobatidae.
GCUGGGCGUGAUGACACACGCCUGUAGUCCCAGCUAUUCGGGAGCUGAGGUGGGAGGAUCACUUGAAGCCAGGAGUUCAAGGCUGCAGUGAGCUAUGAUCAUGCCACUGCACUUUAGCCUGGGUGACACAGUGAGACUCUGUCUCAA